GAUGAAGAACGUAGCGAAAUGCGAUAAGUAAUGUGAAUUGCAGAAUUCAGUGAACCAUCGAAUCUUUGAACGCACAUUGCGCCCGGCAGUAAUCUGCCGGGCAUGCCUGUCCGAGCGUCAUUUCUGCCCUCGAGCGAGUCCAGCAUCUAGGUGCUGGGCCCUCCCGGCGUUGGGGCACUACGGGAAGCCCUGUGCUGUCCCCCGUAGGCCCCGAAAUGAAGUGGCGGUCCUGCCGCGGCGCCCCCUGCGUAGUAUAACAGCUCGCUUCGGGACCCGGUGGAGGCCUGCCGUCAAACCUUACUCUCUAAGUUUGACCUCGGAUCAGGUAGGGUUACCCGCUGAACUUAAGCAUAUCAAUAAGCGGAGGA
RNAcentral lists this unclassified non-coding RNA (368 nucleotides) under soil metagenome. RNAcentral describes it as "partial contains 5.8S ribosomal RNA, internal transcribed spacer 2, and large subunit ribosomal RNA". The stretch from base 1 to 120 matches the Rfam family "5.8S ribosomal RNA", at positions 35 to 154 of the family's 154-position model. The record is from RNAcentral.